Brachypodium distachyon (stiff brome) is the source of this 853-nucleotide long non-coding RNA. RefSeq lists it as uncharacterized. The transcript is spliced from 2 exons. NCBI's taxonomy places the organism in Eukaryota, Viridiplantae, Streptophyta, Magnoliopsida, Poales, Poaceae. The record is from RefSeq and is a predicted model, not a curated record.
AGUACUACGGGAUCCUGGCCAGCACCUCGUCGGGCAUUUGCUGCCUUCUCUGCCCGAUGAUGGUGGUGGGCUCUCCAGUUCCAACGGGCUCGUGCUGAAGUGAUGCACGUCGAUGUCAUUCUGAAACCUGAACGCUUACCUGACGGUUCUUGAAGCACCGGAUGCCAUGGCGUUCCUUCUCUGACAGCUUCUGGUCUGAAUCUGUGAGGCAUCCGUGGGCACAAAGUACAAGUAUAUAAGCAUGAGGAUUGAGGGGACAGGGAUAUGGUGAGGUCUGGUCGUCUUCCUCAGCUAUGGGGAGGAGAGUGACCGCAACGGUGUGCUCAGCCAUAAGAACCAAAAGGUCCUUCUGCAACUAGUUUCGGCAGGGAUCUUGUGUGAUCGUACUUAAGAGGUACACCGCCAGAGGAUACUUUUAUGGAAAAAGGGUUAACUUGGACUUGGAAACAACAAAUGCAUGUGAGCGUGCUGCUAUCUACUUGAUGCUCUUCUCUAAGGUCAAAUUGCUGGUCUUCUGCACGCUUCAUUUUGUAGAUAAUACUCCACGUCUCUAUCUAAACUUCUUCGGUAAGCCAAACAGGUUAUAUAUUUUAGGAUUGGAUUUGCCAGGGAGCAGUCGCCUGAGACUUUUCUCAGUCGACGGCGGAAAUAUGAAUCAGAUAUAUAAGCUGGUAACUAUAAUAUAACAGCAACCUUAGUAGGUCCGGUGGUCUGCGGAUGCUAUGGCUAGUCAAAGAGACGGAGGUUCUUGUUAUGGCCUUCCUUUUCGUUUUUGUUUUUUGAAUUUUUAUUUCUCUUUAUUUUCUCUGUUUUCAACUUUAUAUGCAUGCAAGUUUCAACUGCAAUUUUUUCA